RNAcentral lists this signal recognition particle RNA (94 nucleotides) under Actinomycetota bacterium. RNAcentral's name for it is "Actinobacteria bacterium (freshwater metagenome) signal recognition particle sRNA small type". It matches the Rfam family "Bacterial small signal recognition particle RNA". From Rfam's summary of the family: The signal recognition particle (SRP) is a universally conserved ribonucleoprotein involved in the co-translational targeting of proteins to membranes. Archaeal SRP consists of a 7S RNA and homologues of the eukaryotic SRP19 and SRP54 proteins. In most bacteria, the SRP consists of a 4.5S RNA and the Ffh protein (a homologue of the eukaryotic SRP54 protein). Lineage: Bacteria; Bacillati; Actinomycetota. The record is from RNAcentral.
CGUGUCCCUCACACGGCAUAGACUUAUUUGACAUCCCCAGGGUCGGAAGACAGCAAGGAAGGAUAGCGUUUAUGGGUGUGUGGGGGGCCUAAAU